CCUCGGGAGGCAGCAGUGGGGAAUAUUGCACAAUGGGCGAAAGCCUGAUGCAGCAACGCCGCGUGAAGGAAGAAGGGUUUCGGCUCGUAAACUUCUAUCAACAGGGACGAAAGAAAUGACGGUACCUGAAUAAGAAGCCCCGGCUAACUACGUGCCAGCAGCCGCGGUAAUACGUAGGGGGCAAGCGUUAUCCGGAAUUACUGGGUGUAAAGGGUGAGUAGGCGGCAUGGUAAGCCAGAUGUGAAAGCCUUGGGCUUAACCCGAGGAUUGCAUUUGGAACUAUCAAGCUAGAGUACAGGAGAGGAAAGCGGAAUUCCUAGUGUAGCGGUGAAAUGCAUAGAUAUCACGAGGAACCCCGAUUGCGAAGGCAGCAUACCGGCGCCCGACUGACGCUGAGGCACGAAAGCGUGGGUAUCGAACAGGAUUAGAUACCCCGGUAGUC
Molecule: ribosomal RNA, 442 nt
Filed under: uncultured bacterium
Lineage: Bacteria
Description: partial 16S ribosomal RNA
Rfam family: Bacterial small subunit ribosomal RNA
Source: RNAcentral